Long non-coding RNA from Chenopodium quinoa (quinoa), 277 nucleotides. RefSeq lists it as uncharacterized. NCBI's taxonomy places the organism in Eukaryota, Viridiplantae, Streptophyta, Magnoliopsida, Caryophyllales, Amaranthaceae. The record is from RefSeq and is a predicted model, not a curated record. The transcript is spliced from 3 exons.
ACCUGAUGAAGAUCUUGAUAUACUGAUUAAGGCCCUUGCUCUAGGAGAACAGAAAACAAGUCUAUAUGCAGAAUAUAUAAUGAAGAUUUUAGGACUUGACACAUGUGCGGAUACACUGGUGGGAGAUGAAAUGCUCAAACGAAUUUCUGGAGGGCAAAAAAAGAGACUGACUACAGGUAGCACUACUUAAAAAGUUUUAUUAUCUUAUCAACCUGGGUAUGUGGCUUCAAGUAAUAAUAAUAUUGACGCUUAGUCGCUUAUGCUAAAUUUUCAGGAG